AAAGCAUCUUGGUGGCUAAAUGAAGCCCCAAGAAAUUGAACCUAGCUACAAACAUAUCGCCUAAACAUCGAACUCCAGGAACUCAGAUUUUGACCAUAACAAUACUUGUGCGAUACUUGAUUAAUUAUAAAAUACACACGUGCAUACUUAAAAUCAAACCUGUGCAUACUUAAAAUUGAAGCUGUGCAGUAGUUUAGUUAAGCUUACAAGAUUAAAACAAGUCUGAGUAGUCAAAAACAAGUCUGGUAGUCAAAAACAAGUCUGAACAGUCGGUAAUCACAGCAUUGGUACUUCAGUUGCCAUUUCCAGUGCCUUCUGGACUACAUCCAGCAGAGCAUUCAAAACUGUAGGUAGUUGCCCGAGGCGUUCCAACUUUCCCUUUCCUAUAUGUGGGAGCUUAUAAUUAUUAUUUCCAUCUUUCCUUAGUAUCUCUGUCAUACACCCCAUAAGUGAUAGCCAUACAUGAUUCAAAGUAGAAUCACUAACUUCUUCGUACGCUUCAAGCACUGCACCAACCAACUCACACACUGUCGUAGGCGCCUUUUCAUGUUGUAACCCUUGAAUAACUCUAAAGAAGCCUAAAUCAUUAAUAUUGAGGUCCGGACUAUUAGCCGGCUGAUUAGCUAACGUAAUAUUAAAUCCAUCAGAUUUUGCAACCUCAAUGAAAUCCAAGUCUGUGUUGCAUAUAUGAGGCCUUGCGUUAUCUUGUUGGAUAACAAUAGGUCUAUUGCAGUCCAGUGGCCACUUAGCUUUAAUAGCUGGGAUGAUUUUUUCCAAUAGACAUUGUUUUAUCACAACUUUAGUGAUACUUUCAAUAGGUUUAACUUCAAUAACACCUCUAGCUCUAUUUUUAAUUGAUCUAGCUGCUGGUUCAUCAAAAGUGAAGGGAAAUAUACCUAUUUUCCCAUCAAAAGUACAAUUACCAUCAGCAUCAUACCUAGGCCUUGCAACAGCGCUCAUAAACAUUAUUUUUGUUAUAAAUCUCUUCGACUUGCACCUUCUAUGUGGCUCUUGUUCAUCCGGCAAAAGGGGCUUGAAUUAAAGUAUCAAGAAAAGCACCUCUUGGAUCUUCUCCUACAUUUGGAAAUGUGAAAGCUGCCAUUUUUAACUAUGUCUAUUUUUAGUAGUUUUCUGUAUAAAGUUGUAAAAGUGAUGUGUAUGCCUUUUUAAUACUGUACUUUUGGUUGGUGGCAAAUAUUGGAGGCAAGCUUUUGUAAUUAGGCGGGACUAUGUAAUUAGUUUCCCUCCAGUGGUAAUCACAUGUACUUACUGCACCUUUUGUAAUUAA
Long non-coding RNA from Daucus carota subsp. sativus, 1288 nucleotides. RefSeq lists it as uncharacterized. NCBI's taxonomy places the organism in Eukaryota, Viridiplantae, Streptophyta, Magnoliopsida, Apiales, Apiaceae. The record is from RefSeq and is a predicted model, not a curated record. The transcript has 2 exons.